Molecule: long non-coding RNA, 1511 nt
Organism: Oryza sativa Japonica Group (Japanese rice)
Lineage: Eukaryota; Viridiplantae; Streptophyta; Magnoliopsida; Poales; Poaceae
Source: RefSeq, a predicted model, not a curated record
CCCACAUCCCAUUGCCCGCACUCUCUCGCUCUCCCACUCGCACCUGCGCCGCAUCCCCAAUCCCGCUCCCGCACGCGCUGACGCCGGAAACUGCUCCGCCAUCAGCGCUCCCAUCACAACAGCCUCGCCGAUCUGCCCCGCAGGUGCCGGCUCGCCGCAGUCUACAUCGCCGCCCACUCCGUCGUCAUCGAAUCCGUCCUCGGGCAGGAAUCACGUCGCCGCCGGUGCCCUCCGCGCCGAUCUGUUCCUCACCGCCACCGAUCCCCGCUGCCGGCUCGCCCUCCACCGACCCCCCGCCGGAAGCCCUUCUGUCGCCAGGUCUCCGCCGAUGCAUUCCACGCCGAGUUGCUCCUCGCCGCCACCGAUCCCUGCUGCCAGGUCGCUGUCGACGCCUUCCGCACCGAGCUGCUCCUCGCCGCGCCGCCACGGCGACGACGAUAGACUCCUCAGCAAGUUGCUCCUGCCGACCACCUAGCUAGCUAGCUAACGUCUCGACGAUGUGUUUGUGGCUAGCUAGAGCUCUGAUGCGGCAGCUUGUAUGGUGUGGCUGGAAGACGACGACGCAGCGUGUGCGAGAGGAUGGGAGUCACAAGCUCCAGCCUUAAGGGAGGGGAAGGAGCAUAAAAAAAAUUGAGGGAUGAAAAGAGAAAUAAAAAGUUAAAAACAGAGAGAAGACAAAAUAGAAAAAAAUUUGGAAGAUUGGAAGAGAGAUUCAGAAAAUUUAAUUCAGUGGCUCAUGACCGUUGUUCUAAAGAUAGGCCUGCAGUUCGCUACCGAGGUGCAGGAUAGCUAGGAAGGAGAUAACUGGAGCAGUACUUGUGUCAUAGACUGAUAGACAGUGCCGAUCGACGAGACAGUUGCAUCGAGGAUACUGGGCUUUUGGUCCCAUAGCUUCAAACAAAAAGACCGCUUUGUAGUUUCAAUCUGGAAAUCCAUUUUCGUUGGUCCCAUGCGGUGAAGAAAAUUGGGCUCCACUCUGCGCCGGCAACCCCGGCGAGCAACCUCUGCACCGCCACCUCCCCCGUCGUCUGGUCUCCACCACCGGUAAGAAAUUGCAGAACCCCACGUUUAAUUUAAUUAAAAAUCUUUUCUGUUCAGAGCUGCAGAUUAGGUGUUUAAUUUCUUCAUGGCACCCUUCAUGCAGAAGGAAUUACUCAAAUCAGACACAAGUGAAGCUAUUUGAGGGAUCACUAGCUGUACCAAUUUCUUUCCAGUUACAUUGGUGAACAAAAUUGAUAUAGGUACUGCAACUAGAUCAGUCGCACAGAACUUUCUCCAAAUUGGAUUGGCCUCAUUCCUGAUGACUACAUAAACAUCAUGGAAAAAAUUGUAUGCGAUGUGUGUUUGAUGUUAGGAAGUAUGUGAUGUGGAUUUGGGUGAUCUUACCAUCUUGUUGGCUUUUACAUGGCAUGAUUGACAGUGUGUAAAUAAAAUUAUUUAGUGCUCUGUAAAAAUAUAUGUUGCUUGUUGAUGUCUUAAUGGGCAUGGAUAACAUUGUCAUCUUACAUAAA